GGCGCACGGGUGAGUAACGCGUGGGAACCUGCCUUUUUCUGCGGGAUAACGGUUGGAAACGACCGCUAAUACCGCAUACGCCCUACGGGGGAAAGGUCCGCCGGAGAAAGAGGGGCCCGCGUCUGAUUAGCUAGUUGGUAGGGUAAUGGCCUACCAAGGCGACGAUCAGUAGCUGGUCUGAGAGGAUGAUCAGCCACACUGGGACUGAGACACGGCCCAGACUCCUACGGGAGGCAGCAGUGGGGAAUAUUGGACAAUGGGGGCAACCCUGAUCCAGCAAUGCCGCGUGUGUGAUGAAGGCCUUAGGGUUGUAAAGCACUUUCACUGGUGAAGAUGAUGACGGUAACCAGAGAAGAAGCCCCGGCUAACUUCGUGCCAGCAGCCGCGGUAAUACGAAGGGGGCGAGCGUUGUUCGGAAUUACUGGGCGUAAAGGGCGC
This 438-nucleotide ribosomal RNA is filed under the name uncultured Alphaproteobacteria bacterium. Its description in RNAcentral is "bacterial SSU rRNA". It matches the Rfam family "Bacterial small subunit ribosomal RNA", at positions 97 to 570 of the family's 1533-position model. Lineage: Bacteria; Pseudomonadati; Pseudomonadota; Alphaproteobacteria. The record is from RNAcentral.